This 266-nucleotide ribosomal RNA is filed under the name uncultured bacterium. RNAcentral describes it as "partial 16S ribosomal RNA". It matches the Rfam family "Bacterial small subunit ribosomal RNA", at positions 524 to 788 of the family's 1533-position model. The record is from RNAcentral.
UACAGAGGUCCCCAAGCGUUGUUCGGAUUUACUGGGCGUAAAGCGUGCGCAGGCGGUUAUGCAAGACAGAGGUGAAAUCCCCGGGCUCAACCUGGGAACUGCCUUUGUGACUGCAUAGCUAGAGUACGGUAGAGGGGAGUGGAAUUCCGCGUGUAGCAGUGAAAUGCGUAGAUAUGCGGAGGAACACCGAUGGCGAAGGCAAUCCCCUGGACCUGUACUGACGCUCAUGCACGAAAGCGUGGGGAGCAAACAGGAUUAGAAACCCG